CUCUGUGACUGGCUUGCUUGAUGGUUAGGGUCUGAUCGCUGCCUGAGACACCAUAUCGGUACUCCUCAGAGUUGAUUCUGCAUGUGAAAAACAUAAAAAGAAAAAAAGUCAACUUCUUCAUGCAAUGUGAUCACAGGAUCUGGUUUGCCACUGAAAGGAAUCUUGAUGCUGACCACUUCACCUCGGAGAGCAUGAACUGCUCCCAUGCCUUCAAGAGUUUUAGGAUGGCAUCAACUGUUCCAAAAACAUUGCUGAGCUGGACUUUGUAUUUCCCAGCAUGAGUCUUACGUUGGACAUUCUUCAUGACAAGAUGAGUAUAGUGCUCAGUGUUUUCAAUAGUAAUGUUUUCUGAGUUUUGCAAAAGUUUCUGACCAUGGAACCAAGUCAUGGCAGGUACUGGACGACCAAUGUACAUAACAUGAAGCCGAAGUGUGGAACCCACAGCUCCAUAAUAUUUCUCUUUCAGUGGGUAACCAGGAUGGAACUGCGGUGUUGCUUGCAGGAGAAGCUUACUACUGGUUUCUACUUCUCCAACCUCAUUGGUGGCUAUGCAGGCACUGUCUCCAGACUGUCUAUAUUCAACCCAGUAUCCAAGAAUUUCUUUACCACCAUCACAUUCAGGUUUCUCCCACUGUAGAGUGACACUAUCUUUGGAUAUUGAAAGAAUCUCAAGUUCUCCUGGUUGGCUUGGUUUAUCUGAAAUAUUUUAAAAUAAUGAAAAGGGAGUCAGCUUUACUGGUGAAAUAAAAGGACCAAACAU
Molecule: non-coding RNA, 760 nt
Filed under: Pan troglodytes (chimpanzee)
Lineage: Eukaryota; Metazoa; Chordata; Mammalia; Primates; Hominidae
Source: RNAcentral